Molecule: long non-coding RNA, 582 nt
Organism: Pseudoliparis swirei
Lineage: Eukaryota; Metazoa; Chordata; Actinopteri; Perciformes; Liparidae
Exons: 4
Source: RefSeq, a predicted model, not a curated record
GAAUAACAAACAAAGGUUGUUCUGUUACAGUACCAUCUGCUACACUGGCAGCAGCAGCCAAGGCUCAGGGUUCACCAGUAGAUGCCCCUGCAUCUCCAUCUGUAAAGAGACCAGUGCCCGUUCCCCAGGAGCUCAUGUGUCUGAUGCCAGAAGCAGCACGUCAUCCGUAAACAGAGGCGACAAUUCCUGUGUCAGAGGCGCUCCUGAUUUCUCCUGAGACGUCUGCAGAGCCCGGUCAACUGCCAACUCCACAGAGAGCAAAGUGAGCCAUUACCCAGGCCAAUAGCUGUCCCCACCUGUCCUCCUCCACAGCUUCCUGGCUACGACCAUGAUGUCCGCCAGUGGAACUGUUCACAGCAGCAGAGGAUCUGGAUGAAGGCGGCUCCCUUUGGAGAGUCCAGUGAUUCGGACGGCUGGAACGGGAUCAUUGUGUCUUCUCACUACCUGACUGACUGCUUGCUGCACGAGGACAAAGAGCAGGAGAGUGCCAUCAACACACUUUUGCAGGGCACCUUUGGACAGGCUUUCCGCUCAGACCACAUAGCAACAUUGCAAGGAAGAUCACCUUCUCAUCCGGCACCA